UUUUUUUUUGUUCUGUUGUUUUCUUAGCAGAAAUUAAAUAAAGUGUACAUCCACACUUGACUUGCCUUAGGUGAAGCACGUAUAAUUUUACCGUUUGUCUACCAAAAGGGAAACAAAUCUCAUAGUAACUUUCAUUUCGAGUUGAUUGCUACAUAUCCAAAGUUCCUUAAUCCAUACUACAAUCAGAUCAGCUUUUUACUUGCUAGAUCUUUUUUCAUUGAACUUUGCACUGCAGUGCUUGCUUUGCUUGCAUGAGUGAGAGUCCUGACCCAACAGCAACUAACUUGGUAUGAGUGACUGUGGUUACAGUCACAACUAAGAGACAGAUUCCUUUCUCUUUGGAGCUUGCCUUGAACAAACAAACUGCGUGGUAUAUACAACUGUAACCAGAGCAACUAUGUAUUGUAUGUAGCAGUAGCGGUAGCACUCUUUGGACCAGGCACCAACAUGACAAGUUAUCUACUACAUUUAGAUGCAUGCAUUGUACCGCUCAACUUCUCUGGAAUGGCAAGACAAUUGAAUCGACUCGCCAUUUAUAUGCAGGUCGACAUCUCCGCCACCGGGAUUUGAAGCAACAGCACCAUCACCGGCGUCGGCAACUACCUCAAGGAGAAGAACCCAAAUGCAAAGCGGCGUUGCUACAGGUUCCCCGCUUGACUGGUGGUCUUUCGUUAUUGUGCGGCGUUGAGAGCAUGCUUCGGCUUUGGCUACUAAUGACGCAGGUGAUUUCCCCUUCUUACCUUCUUCCUUUCCCUGUGCUCUCGGCACUGGCCUUUGUGCCAUGACCAUG
Long non-coding RNA from Hordeum vulgare subsp. vulgare (domesticated barley), 790 nucleotides. RefSeq lists it as uncharacterized. The transcript has 3 exons. Lineage: Eukaryota; Viridiplantae; Streptophyta; Magnoliopsida; Poales; Poaceae. The record is from RefSeq and is a predicted model, not a curated record.